Molecule: ribosomal RNA, 20 nt
Filed under: Megasemum asperum
Lineage: Eukaryota; Metazoa; Arthropoda; Insecta; Coleoptera; Cerambycidae
Description: partial 5.8S ribosomal RNA
Source: RNAcentral
ACCUCCUGGCUGAGGGUCGU